GCCCCGUAAUCGGAAUGAGUACACUUUAAAUCCUUUAACAAGGAUCCAUUGGAGGGCAAGUCUGGUGCCAGCAGCCGCGGUAAUUCCAGCUCCAAUAGCGUAUAUUAAAGUUGUUGCGGUUAAAAAGCUCGUAGUUGGUUCUGCGUGCCGCGCUGUCGGUUCGCCGCCUGUCGGUGUAACUGGCAUGUCGCGGCAUGUCCUGUCGGUGGUGAACGGAGUCCACAAUGCUACAUAGGCUUCAUUGCCGAUGUUAGCAUCGUGUGUACUUCCGUUGGCCGAUCUCUCCUACUUCGGUGCUCUUAAACGAGUGUCGAGGUAGGCCGACACGUUCACUUUGAACAAAUUAGAGUGCUUAAAGCAGGCUGAAAUAUCUGCCUGAAUAGUGGUGCAUGGAAUGAUAAAACAGGACCUCGGUUCUAUUUUGUUGGUUUUAGGAAUAUGAGGUAAUGAUCAAUGUGGACUGGCGGGGGCAUUCGUAUUGCGACGUUAGAGGUGAAAUUCUUGGAUCGUCGCAAGACGCACUAGAGCGAAAGCAUUUGCCAAGUAUGUCUUAAUUGAUCAAGAACGAAAGUUAGAGGUUCGAAGGCGAUCAGAUACCGCCCUAGUUCUAACCAUAAACGAUGCCAGCCAGCGAUCCGCCGAUGUUCCUUUAAUGACUCGGCGGGGAGCUUCCACCCGGGAAACCAAAGCUUUUGGGUUCCGGGGGAAGUAUGGUUGCAAAGCUGAAACUUAAAGGA
RNAcentral lists this ribosomal RNA (737 nucleotides) under Triatoma bouvieri. RNAcentral describes it as "SSU rRNA". It matches the Rfam family "Eukaryotic small subunit ribosomal RNA", at positions 500 to 1151 of the family's 1831-position model. Lineage: Eukaryota; Metazoa; Arthropoda; Insecta; Hemiptera; Reduviidae. The record is from RNAcentral.